RNAcentral lists this ribosomal RNA (445 nucleotides) under uncultured soil bacterium. RNAcentral's name for it is "bacterial SSU rRNA". It matches the Rfam family "Bacterial small subunit ribosomal RNA", at positions 26 to 517 of the family's 1533-position model. The record is from RNAcentral.
AGAACGAACGCUGGCGGCAGGCUUAACACAUGCAAGUCGAACGGUUGUAGCAAUACAGCAGUGGCAGACGGGUGAGUAACACGUGGGAACCUUCCUAGGGGUACGGAACAACUCAGGGAAACUUGAGCUAAUACCGUAUACGUCCGUGAGGAGAAAGAUUUAUCGCCCCUAGACGGGCCCGCGUAGGAUUAGGUAGUUGGUGAGGUAACGGCUCACCAAGCCUACGAUCCUUAGCUGAUCUGAGAGGAUGAUCAGCCACACUGGGACUGAGACACGGCCCAGACUCCUACGGGAGGCAGCAGUGGGGAAUCUUGGACAAUGGGCGCAAGCCUGAUCCAGCCAUGCCGCGUGAGUGAAGAAGGCCUUCGGGUUGUAAAGCUCUUUUACCAGGGACGAUAAUGACGGUACCUGGAGAAUAAGCCCGGCAAACUCGUGCCAGCAGCCG